CCUGCCGGCAACAUAUGCUCGCGUGAAGGACUAAGCCAUGCAUGUCUAAGAAAAACCCUUUGAGGGGGAAUCCGCGGAAGGCUCAUUAAAUCAGUUAUUAUUUCGCCAGGGCAGUUUUCUUCGGAUAACUGCAGUAAUUCUGGAGCUAAUACGUACGAAAAGCAGGGAUGUCCCUGCUCUACAACUUUGGAAUUCAGGUCCCCAGGUAACUGGGGAAACUCCCCGAGAGGGAGUUGUAGUGGACCGCAUGGCAUGUCCAGCGGACCAUUGGCUGAGUUUCUGCCCUAUCAACUGCAGCUCAGUGUAUCGCACUGUGCUGGUGAUAACGGGUGACGGGGAAUUAGGGUUCGAUUCCGGAGAGGGCGCCUGAGAAAUGGCGACCACUUCUAAGGAAGGCAGCAGGCGCGCAAAUUACCCAAUUUUAGUUCGAAGAGGUAGCGACCAUGCAUAUCGGUGGGUGCUCUUAUAGGGUGCCUAACCGGAAUGAAACGAUUAUAAACAUAUUAGAUAAGGAUCAAUCAGAGGGCAAGUCUGGUGCCAGCAGCCGCGGUAAUUCCAGCUCUGAUAGCGUAUGCUAAAGUUGUUGUGGUUAAAACGCCCGUAGUCUAACUACUUAAGACAAACCUCACGGUGAUCUUUGGAGAGCCGUGGGGGUAGUCUUACUGGCCGGGUGGGUGGUUUACCUUAACUGGUCGAUCACUUUACCUUAGCCGAGUUACCCUGAGUAACUCUACAUGCUCCCAGUAGGUUUUUGCUUGCAAGUUCCAGCUGGGUAUAACGGAAUAUGGGUUUGGCUUUUUGCUGAACUGGAGCCGUGCCGAUGAUUAAUAGGAGCGAUUGGGGGUGUUCGUAUUGUGCCGGGAGAGGUGAAAUUCUGUGAUCGGUGCAAGACGUCCAAGUGCUAAAGCAUUCACCAAGCGCGCUUCCAUUGAUCAAGGACGAAAGUUAGGGGAUCGAAGACGAUCAGAUACCGUCGUAGUCUUAACAGUAAACGAUACCGACCGGGGAUUAGUAGAUGUUACACGGAUGACUCCUCCAGCACCCAAAGAGAAAUCUUCAGUUUUUGGGUUCCGGGGGGAGUAUGGUCGCAAGGCUGAAACUUAAAGGAAUUGACGGAAGGGCACCACCAGGAGUGGAAUCUGCG
RNAcentral lists this ribosomal RNA (1144 nucleotides) under uncultured soil eukaryote. RNAcentral describes it as "SSU rRNA". It matches the Rfam family "Eukaryotic small subunit ribosomal RNA", at positions 13 to 1187 of the family's 1831-position model. The record is from RNAcentral.